GACGAACCUCCCGAACGUUAUUCGGAAUCACUGGGCUUAAAGGGUGCGUAGGCUGCGUAGUAAGUCAGGUGUGAAAUCCCCCAGCUUAACUGAGGAAUUGCGCCCGAAACUGCUGCGCUGGAGGGAGACAGAGGUAAGCGGAACUGAUGGUGGAGCGGUGAAAUGCGUUGAUAUCAUCAGGAACACCAGUGGCGAAAGCGGCUUACUGGGUCUCUUCUGACGCUGAGGCACGAAAGCUAGGGGAGCAAACGGG
Molecule: ribosomal RNA, 253 nt
Filed under: uncultured bacterium
Lineage: Bacteria
Description: partial 16S ribosomal RNA
Rfam family: Bacterial small subunit ribosomal RNA
Source: RNAcentral